GUGUUGUAUGAAAGGAGAGAAGGUUAGCAUUCCCACUGACAACGAUGGAAGAGGCCCUUGGGCCUAACAACAUGCAUAUGGUUAAGGCACGGCCACCUACUUCGUGGCAUCUAAAGAGAGA
This is a small nuclear RNA of Alexandromys fortis (reed vole), 121 nucleotides long. Lineage: Eukaryota; Metazoa; Chordata; Mammalia; Rodentia; Cricetidae. The record is from RefSeq and is a predicted model, not a curated record.